This 107-nucleotide small nuclear RNA is filed under the name Castor canadensis (American beaver). The record is from RNAcentral. Lineage: Eukaryota; Metazoa; Chordata; Mammalia; Rodentia; Castoridae.
GUGCUCGAUUUGGUGGCACAUAUACUAAAAUUGGAAUGAUACUAAGAAGAUUAGCAUGGCCCCUGUGCAAAGAUGACAUGCAAAUUUGUGAAGCACUCAUUUGUUAA